This 297-nucleotide long non-coding RNA is filed under the name Mus pahari (shrew mouse). Its description in RNAcentral is "predicted gene 11364 (MGP_PahariEiJ_G0032916.1)". The record is from RNAcentral. Lineage: Eukaryota; Metazoa; Chordata; Mammalia; Rodentia; Muridae.
UCACAUCUAUAAUAAAAACCUUCCUGUGAACCGUCCCUCGCAGCGCCCAUGCCCUCACUUUAUAUAUUGACUGUCUCACCAAGUAGGCUAGGCUGGCUGUGUAGUGAGCCCCAGGGAUCUGCCUGUCUCUACCUCUUAGUGAUGAGAUGGCUGGUGAUGGAUACUCCCAUCUUGGUUGGCCUCAAACCCGUGCUUACAAUGUCACUCAGGAGGAGUUGGAUCCUAGCCUCUGGUGUCUCUGGAAACCAUGACUUAGAUGACCAUACUGAUCUUCUAAAAAUAGACAAGUUAAAAAUG